AUUGAACGCUGGCGGCAGGCCUAACACAUGCAAGUCGAGCGGAUGAAGGGAGCUUGCUCCUGGAUUCAGCGGCGGACGGGUGAGUAAUGCCUAGGAAUCUGCCUGGUAGUGGGGGAUAACGUCCGGAAACGGGCGCUAAUACCGCAUACGUCCUGAGGGAGAAAGUGGGGGAUCUUCGGACCUCCCGCUAUCAGAUGAGCCUAGGUCGGAUUAGCUAGUUGGUGGGGUAAAGGCCUACCAAGGCGACGAUCCGUAACUGGUCUGAGAGGAUGAUCAGUCACACUGGAAGUGAGAAACGGUUCCGACUCCCAAGGGAGGGAGCAGGGGGGGAAAUUGGACAAAGGGGGCAAGGCUGAUCCAACCAUUGCCGGGGGGUGAAAAAAGCUUUCGGGUUUGAAAGCCCUUUUAGGUGGGAAGAAAAGCAGGAAGUUAAUACCCUGGUGUUUUGACGGUACCCAAAAAAAAAGCAACGGCUAACUUCGUG
RNAcentral lists this ribosomal RNA (484 nucleotides) under uncultured bacterium. RNAcentral's name for it is "partial 16S ribosomal RNA". It matches the Rfam family "Bacterial small subunit ribosomal RNA", at positions 29 to 507 of the family's 1533-position model. The record is from RNAcentral.